AGCAGCCGCGGUAAUUCCAGCUCCAAUAGCGUAUAUUAAAGUUGCUGCAGUUAAAAAGCUCGUAGUUGAAUUUCGGGAUCAAUAUGUUGGUCGUGCCUCGGUACGUACUAGCUUAUUGGUUUCUCCCUUCUGACGAACCAUGAUGUCAUUUAUUUGGUGUUAUGGGGAAAUCAGGACUGUUACUUUGAAAAAUUAGAGUGUUUAAAGCAGGCUCACGCUUGAAUACAUUAGCAUGGAAUAAUGAAAUAGGACGUUUUGAUUCUAUUUUGUUGGUUUCUAGGAUCGACGUAAUGAUUAAUAGGGAUAGUUGGGGGCAUUAGUAUUCAAUUGUCAGAGGUGAAAUUCUUGGAUUUAUUGAAGACUAACUACUGCGAAAGCAUUUGCCAAGGAUGUUUUCAUUAAUCAAGAACGAAAGUUAGGGGAUCGAAGACGAUCAGAUACCGUCGUAGUCUUAACCAUAAACUAUGCCGACUAGGGAUCGGAUGAUGUUAAUUUUUAAUGACUCAUUCGGCG
This 513-nucleotide ribosomal RNA is filed under the name uncultured Glomus. RNAcentral's name for it is "SSU rRNA". It matches the Rfam family "Eukaryotic small subunit ribosomal RNA", at positions 569 to 1085 of the family's 1831-position model. The record is from RNAcentral. Lineage: Eukaryota; Fungi; Glomeromycota; Glomeromycetes; Glomerales; Glomeraceae.